Molecule: long non-coding RNA, 1163 nt
Organism: Poeciliopsis prolifica (blackstripe livebearer)
Lineage: Eukaryota; Metazoa; Chordata; Actinopteri; Cyprinodontiformes; Poeciliidae
Exons: 3
Source: RefSeq, a predicted model, not a curated record
CGUUUUUCUUGAUCAUUGUUGCAGUGGAUUUCAUAUGUAUUUAUUCAUUGUACACAUUUCUGAAUUAUGGUGUAUGCUUGUGGAUUUUGUUGUAGGCAUAAGAGAUUCUUGUACACUUAGUGAAUCUUUUCAAAACUUAUUUACUUGUAGAAGAGGCUUCAUAAACAGGUUUUGUACUUGCACAUGAAACUGUUUGAGCUUUGUGAAUACGAAAGUGGCUGAUCUUGAAACACUUAUCGGUUCACUGUCAGAGUAGUUGCUGGAAAUGUUGCACCAGGGAGCAGUAGAUAAGACAAUCAGUUACUAUACGUAUAUUCUGUUCUAUUUGAAAUUAAAAUGAUUUGAAAUGGGGACCAUAAAGUUUUCGCAAUUUUUCUAAUACAGUUAACAUAAAUUUUUCCCUUCAAAUAAGCCUAAAUUUUUUGCGGAACUACGUUUUUAUUCUUCACCGUUUGCGUCACUUAAUUAAAGCUCUCCUUGUUUCAAUCUCUCCUCAGUCACACUGAACUUUUUAAUGCUGCAGCCCCCAGUGGCUACAUUAUCUUCACUUCACAAGCAGGACAAAAGUUUGGCUCACUUUUGUCCUGUUGGACUCCCUCCAUCUUGUCAGAAUUUGUUUGGUUUUGUGGAAUUAACCCUUUGUUUUCCCAGUUUUAGUCUGUUUUUGCAGGGUUUUCCACGUAAAACGAUCCUUGGAGGCUGCCAAGAAGACAGAGAGGAAACAAGACCUUGAGGAGGAAUCCAGUGGAUGUGCCCUUUUUUCUUGGGUCAUAUUGAGUCUGUGAUGUCACAUAGACUGGAUCCCAAAUGAAAGCUUUGGAGCAGCGGUUGUUUUUUCUUCUUUUUUUUCUACAGUUGUAAAUAGUUUUUUAUGUAUGUAUAUAUUUAAAAUAGUUUCAUGUAAGAAUAUAGUUUAAUAUAUGUUUCAUGUAUGUAUAAUAGUUUGAUAUUUAUGACAAGUUGAUCAUCGUGGCAAAGCCAUGUUUCACUUGUGAGAUUAAAUCUGUCAGGCCUUACAUUGACACUCAGGCAACAACCCUGAGUGCCACACGGCCGGACAGGACACAUGUAAAUAAAAAAAAGAUAGUUUUUAUUGCAGAGACAUCAAGUUCUGAAAUUUAUUGUAUUCUUUAAAUGUUGUAAUUUUGGUUCAUUGUAAUCUU